Molecule: ribosomal RNA, 301 nt
Filed under: uncultured bacterium
Lineage: Bacteria
Description: partial 16S ribosomal RNA
Rfam family: Bacterial small subunit ribosomal RNA
Source: RNAcentral
CAGCAGCCGCGGGAAUACAGAGGGUGCAAGCGUUAAUCGGAAUUACUGGGAGUAAAGCGCGCGUAGGUGGUUUGUUAAGUUGGAUGUGAAAUCCCCGGGCUCAACCUGGGAACUGCAUCCAAAACUGGCAAGCUAGAGUAUGGUAGAGGGUGGUGGAAUUUCCUGUGUAGCGGUGAAAUGCGUAGAUAUAGGAAGGAACACCAGUGGCGAAGGCGACCACCUGGACUGAUACUGACACUGAGGUGCGAAAGCGUGGGGAGCAAACAGGAUUAGAUACCCCGGUAGUCCCUGUCUCUUAUAA